CCAUGGCACGUGAUCCGGCGCCGCAGGGGUCCCCCAGAUUCAAUUCUAGCUCUCGGGCUGGUGGGGCGGUUGCGGGCGCCUCUCCAAGGGAGCUGAUUCAUUGUCUGGUAGGCCCUCUGCAGGGCCCAGCUGGCGGCCCAGUGGCAAAGCGCCGUUGGUCCUCCGUUUGAAAACCAUGAUCGCGGUGUUACAAUGUCCAUCUGCAUAAGCCUGAGAUCAUAUUGAAAUCCUGCCCAGAAUAUGGAGCUUCAAAGAAGACUAGAUCCAUAUAAAGAAACAGAAACUCAAAGAAGUAACCAGGUCUGUAAACCCCGCACUUUGAGAGGCUGAGGCAGAAGGGAUUGUUUGAAGCCAGGAGAUUGAGACCAGCCUGCACAAUAUAAGGAGACCUUGUCUCUGCAAAAAAUUUAAAAAACAAAAGAAACUCAAAGAGGCCUCUCCUUCCUGACUCAGCCUUGGUUUACCACUGAGAUUUGCCAUAUACCAUACAGAUGAACAAAAACGUUACCAAUUAUUGGCAGGUUUUUUUUUUGUUUUUUUGUUUUUUUUUUUUUAACCAAAUGUCAAGUUGGUGAUGAAGUUAUCUGGAAAUGUCAACCAAACCCAGAAGACUACACAAGACUACAGGAGAAGGCACUCUGGGUAACAGAUUCAAGUUUUCGCAUCAGUUUGUUCGAUGAAGGAUCACAACAUAGACAGUACGGCUUUCUUGCUUCCUCUUCGGUGGUUCCUUGUCUCCCACCUCCAGGACAGACAGGAGUCCUUGACAUCGUGGGAGAGGCAUUGUGGCAAUACUGCAUAGAAGGGAAGCUGGGCUUCGGGCUGCGCCUCCUGAGAGUGGAUUGUCUGAGGUGCCAGCAGGACGUCCGUCAGAUUUCAGGUGGAGGAGAGAGAAAACGGCUUGUGACCUUGCAGGUUUCAAAAGAAGAGCAAACAAGAAGGGCAGAUAAGGAGACGCCAGUGAGAUUCUAUGGCCUGUCAUUAGGGAUGGGCUUCCCAGCUAUCAAAUGUUUGCUCACAUAAUAAAAUGGUGGCAGAGCCCAAAAUGUUGUCA
This is a long non-coding RNA of Gorilla gorilla gorilla (western lowland gorilla), 1054 nucleotides long. RefSeq lists it as uncharacterized. Lineage: Eukaryota; Metazoa; Chordata; Mammalia; Primates; Hominidae. The transcript is spliced from 6 exons. The record is from RefSeq and is a predicted model, not a curated record.